RNAcentral lists this long non-coding RNA (2945 nucleotides) under Helianthus annuus (common sunflower). RNAcentral's name for it is "hypothetical non coding rna". Lineage: Eukaryota; Viridiplantae; Streptophyta; Magnoliopsida; Asterales; Asteraceae. The record is from RNAcentral.
GAGCAGCCACUCCCUCAUCUCAUUUCAGCCGACACCCCUCUUUCCUUUUCUUCCUUCACUCUCGAACACAUAAACCAAAUCACAGGGAACCAAACCUGUCAUCUCUCCCUCUCCGAUUUGGGUUCACCGACGAGUCAACCACGACGGCGCUUCGUUUUCUGGCGAUUCAGAGCUGGUCGAGCUCCAACUGAUGUGGAUUCAGUCCAAUUCCUGUUCGAGUCUCCAUUUCGGGUUAGAUUUGAGACCAGACCUUGUGUUGUUUGCUCCGACGACUCUCUUCCGGUUCAUUAACGAUGGCAUAACCGUCGAACGUCGAGAACAGCAGCGGUGCUGGGCGUUUCGUCUGCGGCGGCGACGGCGAAGUGGGUUCAGCUCCGGGUUGUUUUCAUCUCAGACCCGGUACAGUGGUGGUGUUAGCUCGGGUUGGUAACGGGACUGGUUCUGUUUAGAUUCCGGUUCGGGUCGUCUAGAAUCGAUCUUGCUUCAGUUCGUUCGGGUUCACGACACGGGGUAGCUCGGUUCAUUCGUUUCAGUUUUGGUUUCGGUUCUAUGUUCGGGUCAAAUCUGGUCAACAACGGUCAAAUAGUCAACACGGGUCAAACCCGGUCAACUGACGGGUCGACGGUUCAUCCGAGACUUGGGUGACCUCGGUGUUCCAUCCUCCAAAUCCCUUUCACUCGUCAACAAUCGGAUAAUCGGAAGAAUUUGCAAUAUUGUGAGUAUACUCGCAACCCCCUUUUUAUGUUUACCACUUUUUGGGGUGUAACAUGUUUUACUAUUAAACUACACUUAAACUUAUUCUUUAUGCGAUGCACAAAACAAUCCUUAUACAUGAAUACUAUGUUAUGAUACUUGAUGCUUACGUGGACCAUACUUAUGUGAUAUGUUUUAGUCAUUAGCUCUCACGAGCCUCCCUUCGACAUGUAUAGCACUAUAGGAGUAACGCACCGCCCCCCUUAAACUUGGGUCAUGUUGAAUUAAUUAAACUUUCUUGCGUAAACAGAGGUUGGCUAGAAAUAUUGCAUGCCACGCUAGGUUGAUCUCGUAUAGACUAAGUUGCCAUGUGGAUUCGUUUUAAACUUUUAUACUUAUACUUAUACUUAUGCUUAAACUUGUAUACUCACCUUUGCUUUUGCAUUGAAUUGUAUUUUAAACAUGUUACAAGUUGAUGAUGACGAUGCUAUGAAAAGAAGUAGCGUUGAUGCCUAGAUACACACAUAGACGUUUAGGUUUAAUAUGUUGUAUCAAUUUUGAUUGUGUUGUUAUGUAUUUCCUUCGAACUUGUGGUUAUUUGUAUUUCUUGUAUUGUUGACAAUUUACUUAUGAAAUGAAAUCGGUUUAUUAAAUAUUGUCACAAAUAGCGUUAUGAAGUCUCUUGCAAUCUUCACACUUCGUCUCAUCCCGAUGUUUCCGCCAUUGGUUGGGGUGUGACAUCGAAUGUACUUCUUGAUGGCCAUGUCUGGCAUCUUGACUUGAUCGGGACAGAUAAUGCUAAGCUGCUUGAAGCGAGCAGUUAAAGCAGCGUUGUCUCCGUCCUUCUGCUUGAUGUUCCAAAACUCGUCCUCCAGCUUUUGGCGUUCAUGGGGAGGGCAGAACUCGUCCAUCAUGAUGGCCUUCAGCUCUUCCCAAGUCAGCUCAUCAGCUGCAUCAUUCCCGCGUUUGUUUCGCUCGGCCGUCCACCAGUCUAAAGCUCGGGACUGGUAGACACCGGUCGCAUUGAGGGUACGGAGAUUUUCAGGACAGCCGCUUUGGCGCAGAGUGACUUCGACCGAAUCAAACCAUUGAAACAUGGCGGUAGGGCCAUCUUCUCCGGUAAACUCUUUUGGUCCGCAUGCCUUGAACUGUUUAAAGCUGAAAAGAGUCUUCUUAGCAUCUUUAGGAGCAUCAAUUCGCGACUCCUCAGACGAUUUGCUGACGUUUUCAUACACCUCACUCACAGCUUUUGCCACUUGCUUGGUGAUGAUAGCAGCGAGACGCUUGUCUCUCUUUUCUUGGCGAGUCAGAGGGGUUCGGUGUCCGGAUGACGACAUGGUCUGCAACCGACAUCGUCGUAGGUCUCAGACACAACAAAUCGAAUCUCACCUCACACGUCUACUACUUACUAAAGCAUAGGAGUACGUCGAAACACGUAUCACAUAAACACAUAAGCACAUAACCACAGAUUCACGUAAUCACAGAAGCACUUAAGCACGUAGACACGUAGAGCACAAAGACAUAUAAACACAGAAGCACAUAUAUAUUUAAUCCCAGAUGCAGUAAAUAUCACGUAAUCCUCCUACCCGCACACAGUAGCACAUACUGUAUCCUGACUGCAUCUAAGUUUUACGAGUUAUUCGAAUAUAGCGUUCGCACAUGGCAUAUCGAGUAGUAUAGUAUGAUCGUAUAACAUGUCGAGUAUAGUAUAAGCGUACAUCGUAGCAUAAUGUCGUCUAGAUUUGCAGCGACUUGUUACCGUACUGAGAUAGGAGAGCAAUGUGAGUCGUGCGUGUCGAUCGAUAUGGGAGCAAAAAUCGAGUGAACAUCAAAAUUGAACACAUAAACAAUUAAACUCAUAUAAUCACAUAAACGAGUCAUCAGAGUCAGCAGUUGCGGGCUCAUAAUCGAAACACAUAAAAUCGAGAAAUGGAUUGUCUGUGGCUAUAGACGUCGACUACCCAAAGUGAUUCGACUAUUCACAAUAGACUUGUCGUCACUUUUCGACUUUCGGGAUCGUGUUUCUGCCUCGAUUCUUGGGCAUUCAGCACGUAUUCCCUAGGUCAUACCCGUGAGUUCAGGUCGUUGGAGUCCAUCGAGGCUUUGGUGAGAUGAAAUAAAAGUCGGAACAAGUUGUCAAGGUUAGGGUUUCACCCCUAGCUUAGCAACUUCUUCCUUGUUUUAGCAAAAUUGAGGAGAUUAUUCAUCAAAAUAUGGAUUUCACUCCUGAUUUGGUAUAAUCCUCCUCGUUU